GGGCUUAUAGUCUAGAGGUUAUGACGUCGCCCUCACACGGCGGAGCUCGCCGGUUCGAAUCCGGCUAAGCCCA
This 73-nucleotide transfer RNA is filed under the name Thermoplasmatota archaeon. Its description in RNAcentral is "Candidatus Thermoplasmatota archaeon tRNA-Val". It matches the Rfam family "tRNA". Rfam says of the family: Transfer RNA (tRNA) molecules are approximately 80 nucleotides in length. Their secondary structure includes four short double-helical elements and three loops (D, anti-codon, and T loops). The record is from RNAcentral. Lineage: Archaea; Methanobacteriati; Thermoplasmatota.